RNAcentral lists this long non-coding RNA (585 nucleotides) under Ananas comosus (pineapple). Its description in RNAcentral is "long non-coding RNA (ACOM_LNC032981)". Lineage: Eukaryota; Viridiplantae; Streptophyta; Magnoliopsida; Poales; Bromeliaceae. The record is from RNAcentral.
UGCGACUGCCUACUGCUCAACUCUUUUUAGUCAAGUUUCAUCCAUAGUUAGUUAAUUCACCGAAUUAUUCGCGAAUUUUUGAAAUGCCGAAUUAAACACCCGUUUUCGAAUUUUUGCCAAAAAAUUCGAAUAAUUCGCGGUUUUUUGAGCAAAAAUAAUUAUUCGCGAAGAAAAGGAAUUCGCGAAUAAUUCGGCCCAAAAACGGCCCUCUUGCUUGCGACUGUGAGCGGACUUGUGGGCCUCGCAGUGCCCAAAACCAUCGCCCCCUCCCGAGGCGACGACUCCCACGCUCCCACCCCCACCCCUCCCAAAAAAAGGGUUUGCCCUAACUUCUCACUCCUGCGGCGGUGCGGCCCUGCCAUCGACCCCUGCGGCGGUCUCCCUCUUCCCUUCCGGCCGCUCGCCGAACGCCAUCGGAAGGCCUCCUCUUCAGAAAUCGAAGAUCGAAGAUCGGGUUCUUCACUCUUCAGAAAUCGAAACCCUCCUCGUCGCCUCUUCCUCUUCCGCUUCCGCUUCCGCUUCCUCUCCCGCUUCCGCUAUCCAACGAUAGAUCAGUAACCGGGUGGUUCUUUACAAACCCAGGUA